AGUGAACGCUGGCGGCGUGCUUAACACAUGCAAGUCGAACGAGAACGGGUUAUAGCUUGCUAUAAUUGUCAGCUAAGUGGCGCACGGGUGAGUAAUGUAUAGGUAAUAUGCCUCUUACUAAGGGAUAACAAAUGGAAACGUUUGCUAAUACCCUAUACUCCUUAUUAACAGAAGUUAAUAAGGGAAAGAUUUAUUGGUAAGGUAUUAGCCUGUAUUUGAUCAGUUAGUUGGUGGGGUAAUGGCUUACCAAGACUAUGACACAUAACUGGUUUGAGAGAAUGAUCAGUCACACUGGAACUGAGACACGGUCCAGACUCCUACGGGAGGCAGCAGUGGGGAAUAUUGCACAAUGGACGAAAGCCUGAUGCAGCAACGCCGCGUGGAGGAUGACACAUUUCGGUGCGUAAACUCCUUUUAUAUGAGAAGAUAAUGACGGUACCAUCAAAGGAAGCACCGGCUAACUCCGUGCCAGCAGCCGCCGUAA
Molecule: ribosomal RNA, 484 nt
Filed under: uncultured bacterium
Lineage: Bacteria
Description: partial 16S ribosomal RNA
Rfam family: Bacterial small subunit ribosomal RNA
Source: RNAcentral